This 21-nucleotide microRNA is filed under the name Ascaris suum (pig roundworm). RNAcentral describes it as "asu-miR-5346-3p". The record is from miRBase by way of RNAcentral. Lineage: Eukaryota; Metazoa; Nematoda; Chromadorea; Rhabditida; Ascarididae.
UCGUUGGGAAACUCAAGCCAU